UCAAACUGAAACUAGUAAGCCCUCCAAAUCAAAAGCAAAAUGAAACAAGCUUAUUAAAAUAAUCCAUCCCUUAUAAUGCAUAUGAACUCAGGCCUGAAAGUGGAAUUACACAUUUUUUGUUGUUGUUCAGACCCAAACUGAAGAACUAAGAGCUGAACUUCAGUUGAUGGGAGGAGGCAUCUUGGAAUUCUGGUCUGCUUGUGGACCUUGGUUGGUUGACCAGUCUCCUCUCACUGCACCUACUUUCUUUAUUUGGUAGAUGGCC
RNAcentral lists this long non-coding RNA (265 nucleotides) under Bos taurus (domestic cattle). RNAcentral's name for it is "long non-coding RNA NONBTAT015002". The record is from RNAcentral. Lineage: Eukaryota; Metazoa; Chordata; Mammalia; Artiodactyla; Bovidae.